CUUAUGCGUUGUUGGGUAGGGGAGCGUUCUGUAAGCCUGUGAAGGUGUGCUGUGAGGCAUGCUGGAGGUAUCAGAAGUGCGAAUGCUGACAUAAGUAACGAUAAAGCGGGUGAAAAGCCCGCUCGCCGGAAGACCAAGGGUUCCUGUCCAACGUUAAUCGGGGCAGGGUGAGUCGACCCCUAAGGCGAGGCCGAAAGGCGUAGUCGAUGGGAAACAGGUUAAUAUUCCUGUACUUGGUGUUACUGCGAAGGGGGGACGGAGAAGGCUAUGUUGGCCGGGCGACGGUUGUCCCGGUUUAAGCGUGUAGGCUGGUUUUCCAGGCAAAUCCGGAAAAUCAAGGCUGAGGCGUGAUGACGAGGCACUACGGUGCUGAAGCAACAAAUGCCCUGCUUCCAGGAAAAGCCUCUAAGCAUCAGGUAACAUCAAAUCGUACCCCAAACCGACACAGGUGGUCAGGUAGAGAAUACCAAGGCGCUUGAGAGAACUCGGGUGAAGGAACUAGGCAAAAUGGUGCCGUAACUUCGGGAGAAGGCACGCUGAUAUGUAGGUGAAGCGACUUGCUCGUGGAGCUGAAAUCAGUCGAAGAUACCAGCUGGCUGCAACUGUUUAUUAAAAACACAGCACUGUGCAAACACGAAAGUGGACGUAUACGGUGUGACGCCUGCCCGGUGCCGGAAGGUUAAUUGAUGGGGUUAGCGCAAGCGAAGCUCUUGAUCGAAGCCCCGGUAAACGGCGGCCGUAACUAUAACGGUCCUAAGGUAGCGAAAUUCCUUGUCGGGUAAGUUCCGACCUGCACGAAUGGCGUAAUGAUGGCCAGGCUGUCUCCACCCGAGACUCAGUGAAAUUGAACUCGCUGUGAAGAUGCAGUGUACCCGCGGCAAGACGGAAAGACCCCGUGAACCUUUACUAUAGCUUGACACUGAACAUUGAGCCUUGAUGUGUAGGAUAGGUGGGAGGCUUUGAAGUGUGGACGCCAGUCUGCAUGGAGCCGACCUUGAAAUACCACCCUUUAAUGUUUGAUGUUCUAACGUUGACCCGUAAUCCGGGUUGCGGACAGUGUCUGGUGGGUAGUUUGACUGGGGCGGUCUCCUCCUAAAGAGUAACGGAGGAGCACGAAGGUUGGCUAAUCCUGGUCGGACAUCAGGAGGUUAGUGCAAUGGCAUAAGCCAGCUUGACUGCGAGCGUGACGGCGCGAGCAGGUGCGAAAGCAGGUCAUAGUGAUCCGGUGGUUCUGAAUGGAAGGGCCAUCGCUCAACGGAUAAAAGGUACUCCGGGGAUAACAGGCUGAUACCGCCCAAGAGUUCAUAUCGACGGCGGUGUUUGGCACCUCGAUGUCGGCUCAUCACAUCCUGGGGCUGAAGUAGGUCCCAAGGGUAUGGCUGUUCGCCAUUUAAAGUGGUACGCGAGCUGGGUUUAGAACGUCGUGAGACAGUUCGGUCCCUAUCUGCCGUGGGCGCUGGAGAACUGAGGGGGGCUGCUCCUAGUACGAGAGGACCGGAGUGGACGCAUCACUGGUGUUCGGGUUGUCAUGCCAAUGGCACUGCCCGGUAGCUAAAUGCGGAAGAGAUAAGUGCUGAAAGCAUCUAAGCACGAAACUUGCCCCGAGAUGAGUUCUCCCUGACUCCUUGAGAGUCCUGAAGGAACGUUGAAGACGACGACGUUGAUAGGCCGGGUGUGUAAGCGCAGCGAUGCGUUGAGCUAACCGGUACUAAUGAACCGUGAGGCUUAACCUUACAACGCCGAAG
RNAcentral lists this ribosomal RNA (1745 nucleotides) under Escherichia coli. RNAcentral describes it as "partial 23S ribosomal RNA". It matches the Rfam family "Bacterial large subunit ribosomal RNA", at positions 1213 to 2925 of the family's 2925-position model. The record is from RNAcentral. Lineage: Bacteria; Pseudomonadati; Pseudomonadota; Gammaproteobacteria; Enterobacterales; Enterobacteriaceae.